Non-coding RNA from Neomonachus schauinslandi (Hawaiian monk seal), 73 nucleotides. NCBI's taxonomy places the organism in Eukaryota, Metazoa, Chordata, Mammalia, Carnivora, Phocidae. The record is from the annotation of a RefSeq genome assembly.
GCCUGGCUGGCUCAGUUGGUAGAGCAUGGGACUCUCGAUACCAGGGUCAUGGGUUCAAGCCCCACAUUGGGCC